RNAcentral lists this transfer RNA (67 nucleotides) under Trichodectes canis. Its description in RNAcentral is "tRNA-His". The record is from RNAcentral. Lineage: Eukaryota; Metazoa; Arthropoda; Insecta; Psocodea; Trichodectidae.
UUGAUAGUAGUUUGAAAUAGAAUAUUUGCUUGUGGUGCAUAAAGGAGAUUAAAAUAAUCCUAUCAAA